RNAcentral lists this ribosomal RNA (501 nucleotides) under uncultured bacterium. RNAcentral describes it as "partial 16S ribosomal RNA". It matches the Rfam family "Bacterial small subunit ribosomal RNA", at positions 28 to 507 of the family's 1533-position model. The record is from RNAcentral.
GACGAACGCUGGCGGCGUGCUUAACACAUGCAAGUCGAACGGUGAAGCACCUUCCUUUUGGUGGGUGUGGAUGAGUGGCGAACGGGUGAGUAACACGUGAGUAACCUGCCCCCUUCUUCUGGAUAACCGCAUGAAAGUGUGGCUAAUACGGGAUAUUCUGUGCCUGCUGCAUGGUGGGUGUGGGAAAGAUGCGCUUUUGGGUGUUUUUGGUGGGGGAUGGGCUCGCGGCCUAUCAGCUUGUUGGUGGGGUGAUGGCCUACCAAGGCGGUGACGGGUAGCCGGCAUGAGAGGGUGGACGGUCACACUGGGACUGAGACACGGCCCAGACUCCUACGGGAGGCAGCAGUGGGGAAUAUUGCACAAUGGGCGCAAGCCUGAUGCAGCGACGCCGCGUGAGGGAUGGAGGCCUUCGGGUUGUAAACCUCUUUCGCCAGUGAAGCAGGCCUGUCCCUUGUGGGUGGGUUGACGGUAGCUGGAUAAGAAGCGCCGGCUAACUACGUG